UAGGGAAUCUUCCACAAUGGGCGCAAGCCUGAUGGAGCAACACCGCGUGAGUGAAGAAGGGUUUCGGAUCGUAAAACUCUGUUGUUAGAGAAGAACACGAGUGAGAGUAACUGUUCAUUCGAUGACGGUAUCUAACCAGCAAGUCACGGCUAACUACGUGCCAG
This 164-nucleotide ribosomal RNA is filed under the name uncultured bacterium. RNAcentral describes it as "partial 16S rRNA". It matches the Rfam family "Bacterial small subunit ribosomal RNA", at positions 355 to 511 of the family's 1533-position model. The record is from RNAcentral.